AGUAAGAGAAAGAUAUGCCACACUGUUUUUGGAGGGGGUUAUGUGCCACGGCACUCUGUGGCAGUUGAGACUGACUCUUGGCUGACAGCCAAUGAGAACCCAACCAACACCUUAAUUUCUUCCUGUCAAGCUUGAAGUAGAGAAACCACCCAAGACCCCUAGAAUUCUGAUCUACAGAACUGAACUGCAACUGCCGAGCCCACGUGCCACAGCUGCUGAGGCCUGCGUGCCUAGAGCCCGUGCUGCACGACAGGAGAAGCCACUGCAGUGACCAGCCCACACACGGCAACUAGAGAGUGGCCCCCGCUCACCACACUAUAGAAAAGCCCAUGCAGCGACAAAGACCCAACACAGCCAAAAAUAAAUAAGCUUUUUUCUUUUUUAAAAAACUGCCUCUUGUCCAAGCAUUGUCCUUGGUGCCAUAAAAAAUAAUCAUAAAACAAUCCCAAUCUUGAAGUGUCAUAUGAUGGAUCAGCAGUGAAUCAUCAAGCCCUACUCCAGGCCGUGCCCUUGAAAUACCUGUAAGCUGAUGACCUAUGUCAUAAACAGAACCAUGUUGUGUCCUGACAAUAAUCAUAGACUGAAUGACUAUGCUGUGCUAUCCAGUAAAAUGUCAGCUCAGCCCACAAGUGACUCUUCUGCCUGUUUCUUACAUACUUGACCCAGAAUUUUGUAUACAGUCAUCAAGACAUCACCUUACAGCUCAGCCAUGCCUUGGAGCAGCCCUUCCAUAGGGCUGCCUACUCAUCAGCCAGUUCUGUCUGUGUG
Molecule: long non-coding RNA, 768 nt
Organism: Bos taurus (domestic cattle)
Lineage: Eukaryota; Metazoa; Chordata; Mammalia; Artiodactyla; Bovidae
Source: Ensembl